GGCGGUACUCGGGUGAUGCACCCUGGAAUCGGGCUCCCUCCUCUCUGGUACCAGGGUGCCUCACCUGAGAACUGCC
Non-coding RNA from Myotis brandtii (Brandt's bat), 76 nucleotides. The record is from Rfam. Lineage: Eukaryota; Metazoa; Chordata; Mammalia; Chiroptera; Vespertilionidae.